GGCACAGCCGGUCCCGGCUGCGGCUUCUGGCUGCGCGGCCUGCGCGCGCCUCCCGGGCGGAUUCCAGCCCUGAGCGCGACAGCGCGGCGGGGAGCAACGAGCCUCGGGUGGUUUAUCCCGCCGGAGAGGAAUGGCGAGAACCUGGAGUGUUGACUGGCAAAACAUUUGCAGACGCGGUUUUUCUGGCAAUUAAUUGGCUCCAUUAAAAAUUAGGUAGUUGGUAGGGACUUCCUCCUGAACUCUGGUGCCGAGCGCAUUUUGCUCGGUCUUUUCAGCCCUGUUUCCGCGUCUUCCUUCCCUGCCACCCGCAAAUUGCCAGCUUUCAUCCGUGGCUCUGAGUGCAAAAGAGCUGGGGAAAGCCUUAACCAGCAAUUUUCUUUUAAAUAAAACUUUGCUUUUUAUAGCA
This 406-nucleotide small RNA is filed under the name Pan troglodytes (chimpanzee). Its description in RNAcentral is "processed transcript". Lineage: Eukaryota; Metazoa; Chordata; Mammalia; Primates; Hominidae. The record is from RNAcentral.